GAUGAACGCUGGCGGCGUGCCUAAUACAUGCAAGUCGAGCGAACAGACGAGGAGCUUGCUCCUCUGACGUUAGCGGCGGACGGGUGAGUAACACGUGGAUAACCUACCUAUAAGACUGGGAUAACUUCGGGAAACCGGAGCUAAUACCGGAUAAUAUAUUGAACCGCAUGGUUCAAUAGUGAAAGACGGUUUUGCUGUCACUUAUAGAUGGAUCCGCGCCGCAUUAGCUAGUUGGUAAGGUAACGGCUUACCAAGGCAACGAUGCGUAGCCGACCUGAGAGGGGUGAUCGGCCACACUGGAACUGAGACACGGUCCAGACUCCUACGGGAGGCAGCAGUAGGGAAUCUUCCGCAAUGGGCGAAAGCCUGACGGAGCAACGCCGCGUGAGUGAUGAAGGUCUUCGGAUCGUAAAACUCUGUUAUUAGGGAAGAACAAAUGUGUAAGUAACUAUGCACGUCUUGACGGUACCUAAUCAGAAAGCCACGGCUAACUACGUG
This 498-nucleotide ribosomal RNA is filed under the name uncultured bacterium. RNAcentral's name for it is "partial 16S ribosomal RNA". It matches the Rfam family "Bacterial small subunit ribosomal RNA", at positions 28 to 507 of the family's 1533-position model. The record is from RNAcentral.